This 250-nucleotide ribosomal RNA is filed under the name uncultured bacterium. RNAcentral's name for it is "partial 16S ribosomal RNA". It matches the Rfam family "Bacterial small subunit ribosomal RNA", at positions 524 to 773 of the family's 1533-position model. The record is from RNAcentral.
UACAGAGGGUGCGAGCGUUGUUCGGAAUUAUUGGGCGUAAAGCGCGUGUAGGCGGCUUAGUAAGUUGGGUGUGAAAGCCCUCGGCUUAACCGAGGAAGUGCGCCCAAAACUGCUUGGCUUGAGUACCGGAGAGGAUGGCGGAAUUCCCGGUGUAGAGGUGAAAUUCGUAGAUAUCGGGAGGAACACCAGCGGCGAAGGCGGCCAUCUGGACGGUAACUGACGCUGAGACGCGAAAGCGUGGGGAGCAAAC